This 1120-nucleotide ribosomal RNA is filed under the name uncultured organism. Its description in RNAcentral is "bacterial SSU rRNA". It matches the Rfam family "Bacterial small subunit ribosomal RNA", at positions 82 to 1233 of the family's 1533-position model. The record is from RNAcentral.
CGGGAGUACAUCAGCGGCGAACGGGUGAGUAACACGUGGGUGACUUGCCCCGAAGAUGGGGAUAACCUCUGGAAACGGGGGCUAAUACCCAAUGUGCUCGGUGAUUCGGUUCAUCGAGUAAAGCUCCGGCGCUUCGGGAGAGGCCUGCGGCCCAUCAGCUAGUUGGUAGGGUAACGGCCUACCAAGGCAGAGACGGGUAGGGGGCGUGAGAGCGCGGACCCCCACACUGGCACUGAGAUACGGGCCAGACUCCUACGGGAGGCAGCAGUAAGGGAUAUUGCGCAAUGGACGAAAGUCAGACGCAGCGACGCCGCGUGGGCGAUGAAGGCCUUCGGGUUGUAAAGCCCUUUUAUGGGGGAAGAGAAAAAGGACGGUACCCCAGGAAUAAGUCCCGGCUAACUACGUGCCAGCAGCCGCGGUAAAACGUAGGGGACAAGCGUUAUCCGGAUUCACUGGGCGUAAAGAGCGUUGAGGCGGUUCCGUAAGUUGGGCGUGAAAGCUCCGGGCUUAACUCGGAGAUGUCGUUCAAUACUGCGGGGCUUGAGGACAGCAGAGGAAGGUGGAAUUCCCGGUGUAGUGGUGAAAUGCGUAGAUAUCGGGAGGAACACCCGUGGCGAAGGCGGCCUUCUGGGCUGUUCCUGACGCUGAAGGCGAAAAGCUAGGGGAGCGAACCGGGAUUAGAUACCCCGGUAGUCCUAGCUUGUAACGAUGGAUGCUGGGGUGUGGGGGGUGUAAUUCCCUCUGUGCCGAAGCAAACGCGUUAAGCAUCCCCGGCUGGGGACUACGGCCGCAAGGCUAAUACUCAAACGUAUUGACGGGGGCCCGCACAAGCCAGCGGAGCGUGUGGUUUAAUUCGAUGCUACACGAAGAACCUUACCUGGGUUUGACAUGCACGUGGUAGGGAACCGAAAGGGGACCGACCUUCGGGAGCGUGCACAGGUGCUGCAUGGCUGUCGUCAGCUCGUGCCGUGAGGUGUCGGAUUAAGUCCCGUAACGAGCGCAACCCUUGCCCUUAGUUACAAGUGUCUAAGGGGACUGCCCGGGACAACUGGGAGGAAGGUGGGGAUGACGUCAAGUCAGCAUGGCCUUUAUAUCCAGGGCUACACACACGCUACAAUGG